GACGAACGCUGGCGGCGUGCCUAAUACAUGCAAGUCGAGCGGACGAAUCGAAAGCUUGCUUUUGAUUCGUUAGCGGCGGACGGGUGAGUAACACGUGGGCAACCUGCCCUGUAGACGGGGAUAACACCGAGAAAUCGGUGCUAAUACCGGAUAACACGAAAUGUCGCAUGACGUUUCGUUGAAAGACGGCGCAAGCUGUCGCUACAGGAUGGGCCCGCGGCGCAUUAGCUAGUUGGUGAGGUAACGGCUCACCAAGGCGACGAUGCGUAGCCGACCUGAGAGGGUGAUCGGCCACACUGGGACUGAGACACGGCCCAGACUCCGACGGGAGGCAGCAGUAGGGAAUCUUCCGCAAUGGACGAAAGUCUGACGGAGCAACGCCGCGUGAGCGAAGAAGGCCUUCGGGUCGUAAAGCUCUGUUGUUAGGGAAGAACAAGUAACGCAGUAACUGGCGUUACCGUGACGGUACCUAACGAGAAAGCCACGGCUAACUACGUG
Molecule: ribosomal RNA, 498 nt
Filed under: uncultured bacterium
Lineage: Bacteria
Description: partial 16S ribosomal RNA
Rfam family: Bacterial small subunit ribosomal RNA
Source: RNAcentral